This 253-nucleotide ribosomal RNA is filed under the name uncultured bacterium. Its description in RNAcentral is "partial 16S ribosomal RNA". It matches the Rfam family "Bacterial small subunit ribosomal RNA", at positions 524 to 776 of the family's 1533-position model. The record is from RNAcentral.
UCCGAAAGGGGCUAACGUUGUUCGGAAUUACUGGGCGUAAAGCGCACGUAGGCGGCUUGGUAAGUUGGGGGUGAGAUCCCAGGGCUCAACCCUGGAACUGCCUCCAAAACUGCUAGGCUAGAGGAUGCGAGAGGUUGGCGGAAUUCCGAGUGUAGAGGUGAAAUUCGUAGAUAUUCGGAAGAACACCAGUGGCGAAGGCGGCCAACUGGCGCAUUUCUGACGCUGAGGUGCGAAAGCGUGGGGAGAAAACAGG